GAUGAAGAACGCAGCGAAAUGCGAUAAGUAAUGUGAAUUGCAGAAUUCAGUGAAUCAUCGAAUCUUUGAACGCACAUUGCGCCCCUUGGUAUUCCGAGGGGCAUGCCUGUUCGAGCGUCAUUAUAACCCCUCAAGCUCAGCUUGGUGUUGGGGCCUGCCGCACGGGCAGCCCUUAAAAUCAGUGGCGGUGCCAUCUGGCUCUAAGCGUAGUAAUUCUUCUCGCUAUAGAGUCCCGGUGGAUGCUUGCCAUUAACCCCCAAUUUUCUAUGGUUGACCUCGGAUCAGGUAGGGAUACCCGCUGAACUUAAGCAUAUCAAUCGGAGGA
This 325-nucleotide unclassified non-coding RNA is filed under the name soil metagenome. Its description in RNAcentral is "partial contains 5.8S ribosomal RNA, internal transcribed spacer 2, and large subunit ribosomal RNA". The stretch from base 1 to 120 matches the Rfam family "5.8S ribosomal RNA", at positions 35 to 154 of the family's 154-position model. The record is from RNAcentral.